AUUCCAUGAUUUGGACACUUCUUUAUCAACUCCUUGAAUCUGUUCCAGGCCUCGUGAUAGCUUUUCCCAUCUUUUUGUUGAAAGGUUUGAAUUUCCAAUCUGAUUUU
RNAcentral lists this small nucleolar RNA (107 nucleotides) under Olea europaea subsp. europaea. RNAcentral describes it as "Plant small nucleolar RNA R71". It matches the Rfam family "Plant small nucleolar RNA R71". Rfam says of the family: R71 is a member of the C/D box family of snoRNAs containing the C (UGAUGA) and D (CUGA) box motifs. The record is from Rfam by way of RNAcentral. Lineage: Eukaryota; Viridiplantae; Streptophyta; Magnoliopsida; Lamiales; Oleaceae.